RNAcentral lists this ribosomal RNA (110 nucleotides) under uncultured bacterium. RNAcentral describes it as "partial 16S ribosomal RNA". It matches the Rfam family "Bacterial small subunit ribosomal RNA", at positions 1373 to 1482 of the family's 1533-position model. The record is from RNAcentral.
CCCGGGCCUUGUACACACCGCCCGUCACACCAUGGGAGUUGGUUUUACCCGAAGACGGUGUGCUAACCGCAAGGAGGCAGCCGGCCACGGUAAGGUCAGCGACUGGGGUG